RNAcentral lists this ribosomal RNA (700 nucleotides) under uncultured bacterium. Its description in RNAcentral is "bacterial SSU rRNA". It matches the Rfam family "Bacterial small subunit ribosomal RNA", at positions 94 to 822 of the family's 1533-position model. The record is from RNAcentral.
AGUGGCGGACGGGUGAGUAACACGUAAGAAUUUGCCUUUAGGAGGGGGAUAACAGUUGGAAACGACUGCUAAUACCCCAUAUGCUUUAGAGUGAAAUGGAUGUAUUUCCGCCUAAAGAGAAGCUUGCGGCUGAUUAGCUUGUUGGUGAGGUAAUGGCUCACCAAGGCGACGAUCAGUAUCUGGUUUGAGAGGAUGAUCAGACACACUGGAACUGAGACACGGUCCAGACUCCUACGGGAGGCAGCAGUGGGGAAUUUUCCGCAAUGGGCGAAAGCCUGACGGAGCAAUACCGCGUGAGGGAUGACGGCCUAUGGGUUGUAAACCUCUUUUUUCAGGGAGGAAUCAAUGACGUGUACCUGAAGAAUAAGCAUCGGCUAACUCCGUGCCAGCAGCCGCGGUAAGACGGAGGAUGCAAGUGUUAUCCGGAAUCACUGGGCGUAAAGCGUCUGUAGGUGGUCAAAUAAGUCAACUGUUAAAUCUUGAAGCUCAACUUCAAAAUCGCAGUCGAAACUAGUAGACUAGAGUAUAGUAGGGGUAAAGGGAAUUUCCAGUGGAGCGGUGAAAUGCGUAGAUAUUGGAAAGAACACCGAUGGCGAAGGCACUUUACUGGGCUAUUACUAACACUCAGAGACGAAAGCUAGGGUAGCAAAUGGGAUUAGAUACCCCAGUAGUCCUAGCUGUAAACAAUGGAUACUAGAUG